This 317-nucleotide RNase P RNA is filed under the name Candidatus Omnitrophota bacterium. Its description in RNAcentral is "RNase P RNA component class A". It matches the Rfam family "Bacterial RNase P class A". Rfam says of the family: Ribonuclease P (RNase P) is a ubiquitous endoribonuclease, found in archaea, bacteria and eukarya as well as chloroplasts and mitochondria. Its best characterised activity is the generation of mature 5'-ends of tRNAs by cleaving the 5'-leader elements of precursor-tRNAs. Cellular RNase Ps are ribonucleoproteins. Lineage: Bacteria; Pseudomonadati; Candidatus Omnitrophota. The record is from RNAcentral.
AGGCAGGCAGAACGUGGCUGCCCGCCAUUAAUUCAAUGGCGGGAGGAAAGUCCGAGCUCCAUAGGGUAACGUAAUGGGUAACGCCCAUCUGCCGGCGAUGAGCCGGUAAGGAUUAGAGCUACAGAGACGAUUAAAGGUGAAACGAGCAAUCUCUACGCGGAGUAAGGCCAAAUAAGAGACCAGGGGUAACCCUCCCCACUUGAAGUCUCGGGUAGGCUGCUUGACUCCGGCAGUAAUGCCGGAGCUUAGAGGAAUGGCCACUUAAGAGACGGAUAAUCGCCUCUACACAGAACUCGGCUUAUUCUGUCUGCCUUUAA